RNAcentral lists this transfer RNA (71 nucleotides) under Dipodomys ordii (Ord's kangaroo rat). It matches the Rfam family "tRNA". Rfam says of the family: Transfer RNA (tRNA) molecules are approximately 80 nucleotides in length. Their secondary structure includes four short double-helical elements and three loops (D, anti-codon, and T loops). Lineage: Eukaryota; Metazoa; Chordata; Mammalia; Rodentia; Heteromyidae. The record is from Rfam by way of RNAcentral.
GGAGGUAUUGCUCACUGGCAAAGCUCCUGCCUGGCAAGCAGAAGGCCUGGAUUUAAUCCACAGUACUUUCA